AACAAACACACACACAAAGGCGACCAGUACUGGAGUUGGGAGAAGCUGAGGCGUUUUUCGUGCCGCUGGCUGACCGGCCGGCUGGUGGCUUACAUAGCCAGCUAGUGUGUGCUCUACUUUCUUGCGUGUAAUCUCGCACAAAGCUAGCUUGGAGCCGAAUAAUGGAAGCCACGAUGAAGCUCUGCAACGUUGCGACGGUGAGGAGCUCUGUCACCGGCAAGCCCCGCGAGCAGGAGGAAGUGUCCUCUCGGCAUGAAGACCAGAGAGAGCCUGCAGUUAUUAUGCCACCGGGAGCAUCGGUUCACGUGGUUUCUAUUCUUCUUCGUAUCUCUAUAUCGUCGGAUCUUCUUGACCUUGCAAGACCUUUUCUUGACCUUAGUGCCAUCGAUGAGACGCACAGAAGCAUGUUCCUGUUGGGCCAUGAUGCUCAGGCAAUGUGAAGUAGGCGCCUACCUGUAAGCUAGCUACUUCGUAUGUAUCCCAUCAAUGGAAUAAGUUGGCUAUG
This 505-nucleotide long non-coding RNA is filed under the name Zea mays. RNAcentral's name for it is "uncharacterized LOC100500995, transcript variant 1 (LOC100500995)". The record is from RNAcentral. Lineage: Eukaryota; Viridiplantae; Streptophyta; Magnoliopsida; Poales; Poaceae.